GGAUGUUUGAUAUGAAAGGAAGGUUGGAGAUUGGCCUAUAAUUAGCUAAGACAGCUGGGUCUAGAGAUGCUUUUUAAGUAAGGGUUUAACUACAGCCACCUUGAAGGCCUGUGGUACAUAGCUGAUUAUUAGAGAUAGGUUGAUCAUAUUUAAGAUUGAAGCAUUAAUUAAUGGCAGGUGCUGUUAGCUGCCUCAAGAUUGAUCAGUUAACUGUAGCUACCAACCUUUUUUGGGCUCCGUCUGCUGUGUGUGGGUUUGUUUUCUGUGUCCUGAUUAGCUGUUCUUUGACCACAUGACAGCUCUUCUGACUCCAGCAGGUACCUGAUUGGUGGGCCGACCAUCGUCCUCCUCGGCCUCUGAGGCUCCUCCAUCUUCUCGUCUUCCUUUCUUCUGCCCUUUACAACCACGUGACUUCUGUCUUUAUCUUUAGCGUCAAGCCUGUCAAUCAUCUCUGAAGCCCCGCCCCCAGCCUCACAGAGGCCAACAGCAUCUGAUCUUCCGCUCCUUCUUGUGAGUUUGAUAACUGCCUCCUGAUCAUUCUGAUUGGCUGUUCCAGAAUCAUGUGACCUGUGUCUUUAUCUUCAAUGUCAGAAGAGUCAGUCAUCUUUGAAGCCCCGCCACCAACAGAGUCUUUUGCUCUUCCUCUCCUUGUGUGUUUGUUAGCUGCCUUCUGAUUGGUCUGAUUGGCUUUUCCAGAACCCCGUGUUGUCACCUCUGACUCCAGCAGGUACCUGAUUGGUGGGCCAACAGUCGUCCUCCUUGGCCUCUGAGGCCCCUCCUCCUUCUCCACACAGACUUGUUGCGCCUCCCUUUCCUCGUCGUCCUCCUCCACUCUGCUCCUCUUCGUCCCCCUCCUUCCAUUCCUCCUCUUGUUCAGGGUCCAGUAGUCGACCAACCAGCUGGGACUUUUUCUCACACGAUUUAUGUCUCUUGACCAAUAAGGAGCCCCGGUGGGUGCUGUGAAGAGGGGCUUCCUGGGCCUCUGAGGCUCCUCCUUGUCAUCCUGGGUGGUCUGUUUUUCCUGUUUGUUUUUAGGAGCUCGGGCGUUGCUCAGGGCCGACCCACAUCCAUUGCCGCAGAGACCACCUAUAUUGCUGUGGUGCUGAUUACAUUGGUGCCGGAACAGUCUGCUGGCACGGCUGAACUUCCUGUUGCAGAGGUGACAGCCGAACAGUCGCUUUGGUCUGUGGACGGACGGGUGGAAGACAGACGCCUGGAGAGGGGAAAGGUUAGGCAAAGGUCAUGUGAGCGUUGGGUUAAUUAAAACUAACUAAAGACAAAAGGUGCAGAAAAGUCUGGCUGAAGGUCGGGAAAGAAGAGGUUUCUAUGGUUACCUACUCGGAACCACUCGCCACGUCUGGUUUUCCACUACAAUCUGGUAAGUACCAAAUGUACGUGGUUGUUGUUAUAGCAACGUGCCCGAGUGUCCCCUGACGUGAUUAAUGUGCAACUCCAAUAACGGUGGAUGUCCAGGCGAUGAUGGACCUGCUACUCGGUUUGUGGCGUCAGACUCAGGUACACAGCGUUGCUUUUGUAGCCAUUUCUGUUGCUGCCCGACUUCAAAAAUGGCGCUUUUCAUUUUUUGCGAAUGAGACGCUGUCACGACUCAUCGAGGGAAGCAACUGACCGGCCAAUUGGGGGGAAAUUUUAGUAUUUGCUCGAAUCACUUGGAACGCCAGCCAAACAGCACCCGGUACCAGGAACUAUGACCUAAUGGGCAACCCCGAAAACCACGGCGAGUCGAUCCGAGUAGGUACUAAUGAAAAAGAGGCUGUAGUAACAGGUAAAGUUCAAGUAAAGGUCAGAAGACAUGGGCUUGUGUUCUGUAUCCUGAUUGGAUGUUUCUAAAAUAUGUGUUAUCACCUCUGACUCUAGAAGGCGUCUGAUUGGUGGACUGACCGUCUUUCCUGGUCUCUGAGGCUCCUCCUCUUCCUGUCUUCCUCCCGUUGAGACCGUGUGACCCAUUUCUUUAUCUUCAGUAUCAGAACAGUCAGUCAUCUUUGAAGCCCCGCCCCCAGCCUCAUUGAAGUCAAAAACAUUUUUUGAUCUUCGCCUGUACUGUGUGGGUUUGUUUUCUGCGUCCUGAUUGGAGAUUCUGAGACCACCUGAUGUUUCCUCUGACUCCAGGAGGCCAACCAACGUCCUCUUUGGCCUGUAAGGCUCCUCCUCUCCUUCCUCUCUUCCUCCUGUUGUGACCAUGUGACCUGUGUCUUUAGCAUUAGUCUCAGGCCUGUCAAUCACCUCUGAAGCCCUGCCCCCAACAGCAUCUUUUGAUCUUCCUCUCCUUCUUGUGGGUUUGGUAGCUGCCUCCCGAUUGGUCUGAUUGGCUGUUACAGAACCAUGUGAUGACUCCAGUAGGUACCUGAUUGGUUGGCAGACUGUCCUCCUUGGCCUCUGAGGCUCCUCCCUCUCCUCUGCAUCACCCUUCGCGUCAUUGGUUUGUUCUUGCUGUUGGUCAGCAGCAGCUUGUGCGCAGCUCGAAGCCGGUCUGUGGACGGACAGAUGGAGAUCCAGAGACGGCUGGCUGGUGAAGUUCAGACCACACACCUGGAGACAGGUAAAGUUGAAGGUCAAAGGUCAGAGAAACGAAGGUGAUGUGAUGUUCAAGUGAAGGACUGACCUGGCAGAGCUUCCACCAUCUCUCUGCUCCUCCGUCUGCUGAGGACUCCAUUGUGCUGCUGUCAUCCAGCUCCUUCUGCUCCUUCUUCGGCCUCCCCGUCUUCCUCCUCCCCACGUCUCUGCUUGCUCUGCUGUGAUUGGCCUCUGUUGGCCCAUGUGACUGCUGCUCAGACUCCAGCAGGUAUCUGACUGUCGGACCGACCAUUCUCCUCCUCGGUCUCUGACACUCCGCCUCCUCAGUCUUCAUUAUGACAGAUUUGACUCUUCCCCCUUCUUUCAUGGUCUCCUCCCCUCCCCUCUCCUCCUCCUCCUGCCCCUCGUUCUUCUUCCUCUCUUGGAUCCAGGUUGUUUGUUUCUCUCCUCGCUUGCUGGUGUGGGACUCCUCAUCCUUCUCCAGAAGUUUCAUCUUUAGUCUCCUCCUCUUCCCGGGUGGUUUUCCUGCGAUGUGAUUGGUCGAUUUGUCAGCCAGUGAUGACUUUUGUCUUUCACCUCCAUCAGGCCACCUCCCCCCCUCCAUCUUCGUCUUUUCUUUAAAUGCCAUGCUCUCAGAGCAGAGUCGCUCC
This is a long non-coding RNA of Oreochromis aureus, 3182 nucleotides long. The record is from Ensembl. NCBI's taxonomy places the organism in Eukaryota, Metazoa, Chordata, Actinopteri, Cichliformes, Cichlidae.